RNAcentral lists this ribosomal RNA (468 nucleotides) under uncultured bacterium. Its description in RNAcentral is "partial 16S ribosomal RNA". It matches the Rfam family "Bacterial small subunit ribosomal RNA", at positions 28 to 507 of the family's 1533-position model. The record is from RNAcentral.
GACGAACGCUGGCGGCGUGCUUAACACAUGCCAGUCGAACGGAAAGGCCCUGCUUUUGUGGGGUGCUCGAGUGGCGAACGGGUGAGUAACACGUGAGUAACCUGCCCUUGACUUUGGGAUAACUUCAGGAAACUGGGGCUAAUACCGGAUAGGAGCUCCUGCUGCAUGGUGGGGGUUGGAAAGUUUCGGCGGUUGGGGAUGGACUCGCGGCUUAUCAGCUUGUUGGUGGGGUAGCGGCUUACCAAGGCUUUGACGGGUAGCCGGCCUGAGAGGGUGACCAGCCACAUUGGGACUGAGAUACGGCCCAGACUCCUACGGGAGGCAGCAGUGGGGAAUAUUGCACAAUGGGCGGAAGCCUGAUGCAGCAACGCCGCGUGCGGGAUGACGGCUUUCGGGUUGUAAACCGCUUUCGCCUGUGACGAAGCGUGAGUGACGGUAAUGGGUAAAGAAGCACCGGCUAACUACGUG